CAUCACUGAACGCCAGCUAGCACGAGAACACCCAUUCAGUCGCUCUCUGACCGUCAUAGGGAGUGUACGUCGCGUUUCUGCUCGUCCCUCCUACACGUGUUCCCUAUAGCGACUUAACACGCUAACUUAUUCCCCCCGUGGACGCUCUUCCUCUGUGUUUCCAAGAGUGUUACUCCACUCGGAGGGACUUGAGUGAUAAACCUAAAUGCUGAAAUACGACGAGCUUUUAAAGGAUGGUUAGAUAAUUAAGAAAUUGGCUACUUGCAUCGUUCGGUGGUCGCCGGGGAGAGGAGUGAGGGCGUCAUUUCGUGUGUUUCCGUUCUGGACUGAGGAGUUAGGGAAGGUGUGAGGAGUACGGGCUAAUAUACAUCUCACCUGCACCUGCUUGUACCUGCCCCAGCCUGCCUGCCACAGCCUGUCCGUUCAGCCUACAUGUGCGUGUGUGGUGACGCGAGGCGGUGGUGAUGUAAGGGAACGCGGCGAGGCGAGGCUGUGGGUGUGCUGGUGGAGGCUGGCAGGUGUGAGUGGGAGCAGCAGUGUGAAGGAGGCAAGGGUGGACAGGACAGGUGUGCACUAAGGUGUCACCACCAAUUAACACACCUCACUCACUGAUCAUCGUCACGGAUUUUCUCACUCGCUCAUUUCAACGUUAUGGGUAUGUGUUGCAAGGCGGCUUUCAUGCACGGUGAGAAAGUGAGUCUUGUGGCUGGAACUACCGUGUUGCGAGUCAGGUCCUUUAUAGCGUAAUGAAGUGAUUGAGGUGUUGCAAAUAAGACAUUAAUAUCGAUUGAGGAAAGCAUCUUUUUUGUUGAUAGUAUUGCAAAUAUUUUUGUUCACAGGAUAAAUUCUUUUCUUUUAAUUUACAUUAUGCAAAGCAGUAUCUACAUAAGGUAAGGAAGUGAAUGUCGCGUUGCAAAUAAGACACUUAUAUCAGUUAAGGAACGUAUCUUUGUGUUAGUGUCACAAAUCGGUUUUCUUUUUUUUUUCACAGGAAAAAUAAGUUAUUUUUGUUGUAUUUUCUUCAUAUUGCGCAACUGAAACUUCAUAUUGCGGUGAAGGACAAAAUGUUGCAUUGCUGAUCAGACCUCCCAUGCACUUAAUAACUAAACAUUCUGGUGCGAGUGUUUCUGUUUCGGAAAAUCAAGCUUCGUAAUUAGGUCAGCAAUAUAACUGUUUUGUUGUUGCCUGUGUUACUUUAUCGGAUAUAGAACAUAUGUGUGGGGGGUAAAGAAUAAUCGUGUGCAAUAUAUUUCUUUGUUAUGGUGUCAGGUUGUGGGGUAAGGAACAAUUUUGUGCCUCGUGUUAUUUUAUGAGGUAAAGAGAAGAUUUCUUUGUCCCACUGGUACUUUAUAGAGAAGGGGAACUUUUGAUACGUUUAGAGUAAGGAAUAGAUUUCUUCACUAUUUAUUUCAAGGAGCGAGUUUUUUUUUUUUUUU
Long non-coding RNA from Scylla paramamosain (green mud crab), 1436 nucleotides. RefSeq lists it as uncharacterized. NCBI's taxonomy places the organism in Eukaryota, Metazoa, Arthropoda, Malacostraca, Decapoda, Portunidae. The record is from RefSeq and is a predicted model, not a curated record. The transcript has 3 exons.